RNAcentral lists this ribosomal RNA (253 nucleotides) under uncultured bacterium. Its description in RNAcentral is "partial 16S ribosomal RNA". It matches the Rfam family "Bacterial small subunit ribosomal RNA", at positions 524 to 776 of the family's 1533-position model. The record is from RNAcentral.
UACGUAGGGUGCGAGCGUUAAUCGGAAUUACUGGGCGUAAAGUGUGCGCAGGCGGCCUAGCAAGUCGAGUGUGAAAGCCCCGAGCUUAACUUGGGAAUUGCGCUCGAAACUACUUUGCUGGAGUGUGGCAGAGGAAGGUGGAAUUCCACGUGUAGCGGUGAAAUGCGUAGAGAUGUGGAGGAACACCAAUGGCGAAGGCAGCCUUCUGGGCCAACACUGACGCUCAUGCACGAAAGCGUGGGGAGCAAACAGG